This 304-nucleotide unclassified non-coding RNA is filed under the name Ustulina deusta. Its description in RNAcentral is "Kretzschmaria deusta partial internal transcribed spacer region". The stretch from base 1 to 46 matches the Rfam family "Eukaryotic small subunit ribosomal RNA", at positions 1786 to 1831 of the family's 1831-position model. The record is from RNAcentral. Lineage: Eukaryota; Fungi; Ascomycota; Sordariomycetes; Xylariales; Xylariaceae.
AAGUCGUAACAAGGUCUCCGUUGGUGAACCAGCGGAGGGAUCAUUAAAGAGUUUGUUACAACUCCUAAACCCAUGUGAACUUACCUUCUGUUGCCUCGGCAGGCAGGUCGCAUCUUGCUACCCUGUAGGACCCUAUCCUAUAAGACCUUACCCUGUAAGGUCCUACCCGGAGAGACCUACCCGGUAGAGAGAUGCGGUGCCACCUGCCGGUGGACUGAAAAAUCAAUUCUAUUUAGUAAAUGGUAUUCUGAAUCAUUAUAUGGAAAUUAAGUUAAAACUUUCAACAACGGAUCUCUUGGUUCUG